CAAGUACUCCCUUCUUUCAAAAAUACUUGUCAUAAAAAAGAAUGUAUUUAGAUAUAUUUUAGUUUUAGAUACAUUCAUUUUUAUAAAUUUAUGCGACAAGUAAUUCCGAACGGAAGGAGUAGUUA
Non-coding RNA from Hordeum vulgare subsp. vulgare (domesticated barley), 125 nucleotides. NCBI's taxonomy places the organism in Eukaryota, Viridiplantae, Streptophyta, Magnoliopsida, Poales, Poaceae. The record is from Rfam.